CCUACGGGAGGCUGCAGUGGGGAAUAUUGGGCAAUGGGCGCAAGCCUGACCCAGCAACGCCGCGUGAAGGAAGAAGGCCCUCGGGUUGUAAACUUCUUUUAUUCGGGACGAAACAAAUGACGGUACCGAAUGAAUAAGCCACGGCUAACUACGUGCCAGCAGCCGCGGUAAUACGUAGGUGGCAAGCGUUAUCCGGAUUUACUGGGUGUAAAGGGCGUGUAGGCGGGAGAGCAAGUCAGACGUGAAAUUCCAGGGCUCAACCUGUGGCCUGCAUUUGAAACUGUUUUUCUUGAGUGCUGGAGAGGCAAGCGGAAUUCCGUGUGUAGCGGUGAAAUGUGUAGAUAUACGGAGGAACACCAGUGGCGAAGGCGGAUUGCUGGACAGUAACUGACGCUGAGGCGCGAAAGCGUGGGGAGCAAACAGGAUUAGAUACCCUGGUAGUC
RNAcentral lists this ribosomal RNA (443 nucleotides) under uncultured bacterium. RNAcentral's name for it is "partial 16S ribosomal RNA". It matches the Rfam family "Bacterial small subunit ribosomal RNA", at positions 338 to 795 of the family's 1533-position model. The record is from RNAcentral.